RNAcentral lists this ribosomal RNA (584 nucleotides) under Achromobacter piechaudii. Its description in RNAcentral is "bacterial SSU rRNA". It matches the Rfam family "Bacterial small subunit ribosomal RNA", at positions 433 to 1010 of the family's 1533-position model. The record is from RNAcentral. Lineage: Bacteria; Pseudomonadati; Pseudomonadota; Betaproteobacteria; Burkholderiales; Alcaligenaceae.
CUUUUGGCAGGAAAGAGCCGUCAUGGGCUAAUACCCCGUGAAAUGGCGGGUGGCUGCAGAAUAAGCACCGGAUAACUACGUGCCAGCAGCCGGGGUAAUACGUAGGGUGCAAGCGUUAAUCGGAAUUACUGGGCGUAAAGCGUGCGCAGGCGGUUGGGAAAGAAAGAUGUGAAAUCCCAGAGGUUAACUUAGGAGCUGCAUUUUUAACUACCGAGCUAGAGUGUGUCAGAGGGAGGUGGAAUUCCGCGUGUAGCAGUGAAAUGCGUAGAUAUGCGGAGGAACACCGAUGGGGAAGGCAGCCUCCUGGGAUAACACUGACGCUCAUGCACGAAAGCGUGGGGAGCAAACAGGAUUAGAUACCCUGGUAGUCCACGCCCUAAACGAUGUCAACUAGCUGUUGGGGCCUUCGGGCCUUGGUAGCGCAGCUAACGCGUGAAGUUGACCGCCUGGGGAGUACGGUCGCAAGAUUAAAACUCAAAGGAAUUGACGGGGACCCGCACAAGCGGUGGAUGAUGUGGAUUAAUUCGAUGCAACGCGAAAAACCUUACCUACCCUUGACAUGUCUGGAAUUCCGAAGAGACUGU